Molecule: ribosomal RNA, 253 nt
Filed under: uncultured bacterium
Lineage: Bacteria
Description: partial 16S ribosomal RNA
Rfam family: Bacterial small subunit ribosomal RNA
Source: RNAcentral
UACGGGGGGGGCAAGCGUUGUUCGGAAUUACUGGGCGUAAAGGGCUCGUAGGUGGCCAACUAAGUCAGACGUGAAAUCCCUCGGCUUAACCGGGGAACUGCGUCUGAUACUGGAUGGCUUGAGUGUGGGAGAGGGAUGCGGAAUUCCAGGUGUAGCGGUGAAAUGCGUAGAUAUCUGCAGGAACACCCGUGGCGAAAGCGGCGCGCUGGACCACUACUGACGCUGAGGAACGAAAGCUAGGGGAGCAAACAGG